Molecule: long non-coding RNA, 1441 nt
Organism: Malaclemys terrapin pileata
Lineage: Eukaryota; Metazoa; Chordata; Testudines; Emydidae
Exons: 4
Source: RefSeq, a predicted model, not a curated record
CCGUGUGACUCUGCUGCUUUUAGGCUGCUGUGAUCUGAGGAAUUUUUAUUGUGGGAAGCUGGAUCCUGGUGUUGGGGAUUAUUUCAUCUCUGGGGAGAUUUCAGUCUGGGCUGGGUCUUUCCCCCGUGCUGCCCCUCCCUUCCAGGACGUGGUGGUGAGUGUGCUGGUAAUUUUGAUGGGGGAGUUCAGGAGAUGGAGCGCAACGUGAUUCAAGACAAAAGAGUCUCCAUUCUGAUUACUGCUCCAUUGUGUGACAGAGCAAAACAUUUCAAUGUGGUUGAGACUGAAUUUGAGUCAAGAAAAUACAAGUUGCAGUCCCUUUUCUUUGGGAACAUUUUCUUCGUGGUUCAGCAGGACAUGGAGGCUGAUGGUGCAUGAAAACAUAUCACAUUGAUCCAAGUAUGUAUGAAGAGCUUUUAAAACCAGACUAUGGAUUCUGUUUAAAGGAAAGCUCACAUGAUAGCAACAGUGACAAAUCGAACGAGAGAGAACAUAUUUGAGAGAGUUUAUCAAACAAGAGGAUGAGGUGGGUAGGAAGUUUAUGUAACCCAUGUGCCUAAUAGGGAGAUAUCUCUUUAAGAGACCUAUGUGGGGGAUGGGAGUGAGUUGUGUCUGGGUUAUUAUUGCUAGGCAGGAGGGAUAGCUCAGUGGUUUGAGCAUUGGCUUGCUAAACCCACGGUUAUGAGUUCAAUCCUUAAGAAGACCAUUUGGGGAUUGGCUCCUGCUUUGAACAGGGGUUUGGACUAGAUGACCUGCUGAGGUCAGUUCUAUUAGCCCUCCACAUCCAGAAACCUCUGGAUUUUGGGUGGGGUAAUUUGGGGUAUGCUUCAACAGACUCCAUAAGGGCAGCUGCUUUACAAAGGGCCAUGUGUGAGUUGGGAGAAGCUGAGCCAGGAAGCAGGUUGUUGUCCCUAACUCUGAAGCAUUUUGCAGCAGGUUAGUGAUAUUGUUUGCUCAUGUUUCCCUGUUUGAGGGUUAUGUUAAUAAUAGCAAGGGGAAAUUAGAAGGGAAAAAUAAUUUCUUCUAUUUUAAUUGUAUGCUUUGAAUGUUGUUUUGAUUUUAGCCAAACUGUUCUAGUUAAAUUGUCUCAACUAGUGCGAUUCAUCAACUUUCCUUUAAAUGUAGUAAUGGGGAAAGAGUCAUUUAUAUUUUGCUAUUCUCAGAUUUGUAUUUUCUUGUAACAGGGUUUUUUUUUUUUAAUCUACACUUAACUGAUUAAUCAGUUAGCUGACUGGCUAACAGUGAUUUCAGAAGAGGAACGGUCUGCAUGGAUUCCAAUUGAAGAUUCCUACAAGCAAGUAGAGGGAAGAUGUUGUUUUUUGACUCCACAGACUAGAUUUGGUGAUCAAAGACUCAAACUGAGAUUCAGGUGAACUCAGCCUACGCUUUUGGGAACUCUCAGUUUCUUCUCACUGUUUCGGUGGAGACUGAACUGUUGAGA